This 730-nucleotide long non-coding RNA is filed under the name Mytilus galloprovincialis (Mediterranean mussel). Lineage: Eukaryota; Metazoa; Mollusca; Bivalvia; Mytilida; Mytilidae. The record is from RNAcentral.
GGGGUGGGGAUCUCGACUGUUUCCAAGUUCUAAAACAGGAGGGGGUGAGGUGACUAAAGGGACACCACCUAUAUAUCAUAUGAUUUGCUUACAUUCAGGUAUCAUUUAAUCUAGUUGCACUAUUUGUAAAAAUAAAGUAAGAAACUUCCAGCUAUUUUUACUGACCCAUCAAAAUUGAGAAAAAAAUACCCAAUGAAACUGCAGUAAUAUUUUCACACUUUAAAAGCAUCCAACAUGCAUUACCAACAUUUAUCACUGAUAAAGAAAAUUUAUACUGUCACCAGGAACAUAUAUAUUGUUAGAUAUACUGUUCCCAGCUGUCACAUUGUAUUGGAUUUUGAACAUUAAAAUUUGUCAAAAAUUUUGAGUUUCUGUACAAAAUAUUUACUGCUUUUUCUUUCUUUUACAUAUAUCUUUAGUUUUCCAAUUCUAGUGUUUAUACAUACAGUACAGCCUGUGACAUUCUCUUAAUUAUGUCCACCCUCUUGCAUGGUCAACAUUCAAGGGUGGCCAUUUAUUGGGGUAUUCAAUCUUGAGAUGAUGUUGUGAUGUUGGCCAUUUAUUGGGGUAUAAAACAUAGGUUGAUGUUUUAUCUAAUAAUGUUACCUGUUGUAAUCAAUCAGGGUUGAAGUUUUCAAUUUGUAUGUUUCUUUAAAAUUUACCUGUACAGGUAACUUAGGUUUCUUUCAAAAUUGAAAUUUCAUCUUGUUUUGAAAAUGUAGAAUAAGAC